GCACUGCUACCAGCGGCCACUGACACUUGCAAUGUCCGAGUGAUACUGACGGGGCAGCCUCCCACUGGCUCCACCUUCCAGGAAAGAGGUGCCCUGCAAGCUGUGGCCUGCUGAAGCGAUGCUGGGACGAGAACACAGGUGGCCAUGUGACCAGAGGUGCUCCUAUCUCCCUAGUUCUGGAAGAUGGACCAACACCCUUCACAUUUCACGUCACUGCCUUCCAAUAUAUGUUUUGUAUCUUGUGGAGAGAAUGUGUAGAGGAAAGAAUCCAGGACCAAGCCCUGAAAACCCUCAGCCCUGGAACACUCCACCAUUUAAAGGUUUUUAUUUGUUCCAGAGAAUGCAACCACUACUUAUGCUUUUAAGAGGUCCUUUUCCAUCCUACCUUGUCCCCGUGUCCUAACCCAAAGAAGCAAUCCUCACUGACUGCCCAGUUUUGAAUACCGAGCAGGAUAAAGGGGAAGGUGUGCACCUGCAGACAGCAACUGCUGCGGAAUAUCAGCUCAUGCUAUGUAACGGGGACUUUUCGCCCCCUUUCAACGGAUCUGUGAUGCAUGAGGAAAAAUUCAAGUUCUACACACCAGGAAGAAUCUAGAACACUAGUCCCAAAGCAAGAUCGAUUUUAUCUUUUCAUCAACAGUGUACAAAGGGGCUGUAAAUAAAAGCAGGUUACAAGGUGAACACCCAUGCACUGAUCCAGCUGGUCACACCUCUGCCCUGCCGUGUCAGUGUGAAUGAGCCACUAGACAUCAGCCAGGAAGGUGGAAGGGCCUGACCCAGGAAGGCCAAGGCAAGGAAAGCCACAGGAGGGGGUUCAGCCACUGAAUCAGGACCUGCACAUUCCUGCCCACAGCAGGUGGUUCUACCCAUCCCAGGGCAAGUGCCGGAGCACACGGGUCAGGUUCUUACAUCAGUUCUGCAUCGUCCCCCUUAAUGGGAGGUCCCUGUGAUCAGUGUUUCCAGAAGGUGCGUGCAUUGGAAUCAUACGAGAUUUCUGCUGAAAAACAGAGAUGCCUGGUUCCCACACCCUACCUGAUGAAUGAGAUCCUAGAGGAAGAGGAUGAUGCAUUUUUAUCAAGCUCUCCAAGUGAUUCUUAUGUCUGUUAAGCAGGCUCUUGGUUUUCUUCAGAGGAAUGUUCUCCAGUGGAAGUAACACUAACUGCUAAAUAUGAGAGCUUACCAUACACCAUGCUAUGCCCUGGAUGUCCUCUCUCACGUCAUCCUUGAAACUCCAAUGAGAAAACAGGCUCAGAGGACUGCAGUCACUCAUCAAAGCUAUCACUCAUCUAUCAAAAGUGGCUGUCACAGCCCCUACAGUAUUAUUAGAAUGAUCAUCAUUUCAAAUCAUCAUAAUGCUAGUCUUUGAGAACAGAACUGAACUAGCAUUUCUACAGUGAAACAGUUCACCUGUGAAAGUACAGAAACACAAUCAACCACCUAACACUCCCCUCUGCCAAAGCCAAGGGUGAGUGGAAUGGACACCAGAGUUCAUCAGGUGAAAGAAACAGCAGUUUUGAGGUCUCUGCCAACAAAAGGAGACGUCUGGUUUCUCUGAGCGAGUGCUAUAAUGGCAGAAUGAGUGUACUUCCUAGAGCCUCAUGAUUUUUCAUAAUGGUUCCUACAUACUAGCUGCUGACAGUAAGUUCAAUCUUUAAAAACAGCCUCUCAGGUUAUGACUGUAGGUCUCACAGUGAAAUUCACAGGACACUGUUCUUUUCAGUAUUUCAAAUAGUAUUUUCUUUUUCACUUACUCUUAGAGACAAAUUAAAAAACUUGCAUGUUUGCUUUUGCCCUUCAUCAAUAGUCUGAUUUAUUACAAAGAAAAUAGGUGGAAAAAAGGUCACUUUACAAAUGCCAGUUGUUAGACUAACAAUUACGAAACCCUUACCCAGUAUUUGUUUUUUGGUCUACCGUCUUCUGGGUGAACACUGUGGUUCCUGGAUUAAUCAUGCUCACCCAUGUUUGGGUUUGCACAGUCUCCCCAGUGUUGUGUGUGCAUGCGUGAGCUCUAACCCCAUCCCCGCUCGCGAAAGGCUUACAGCCAAAAUCUGAUACUCCCAAACUGAAAAGGCCUUGCUGAGUGAGUCACAUGUAGCCUGGCUGGGAAGGACGGAACCCUGGACCCCUUCUCCAUGUGAUACGAUGCCAACUUCCUAGUCUCACUGAGCAGUACAGCCAACAUCUGGGAAGUAUAAAAUUUUGGAGCUCUUGUUUGUGAUACUUCCUGCUGUGUUCCUGGCAUAUCUGAACACACUGAGUUUUUAACUCAUACCUGAAAACCUGUUUCUGUUGAAUAUUUGCCUUUUCCCCCUAUGGUAGGCUUCCUAAUGAUACCCUUGGAUAAAGGGAUUCUUCACACGUUUUAUGGAAUAUUACAUCUGUCCUUUGCUUAAUCUCAGUCCUGCCUUAGCAUUGAUGACAUGCUCUCCCUAACAAAAACACAUUUAUCUAAAUUUACAUCUCCAUAAGGUAUAAAUACGAGUUGAUCAAUGCUUUGAGAGAAGAUACAUAAAAGAUAAUACAUUAGAUUGCAUCAGUUUUAUAGCAAUAUGUUUAUAAGAACAGGAAUUAAAACAAAUCCCCUCUAAUGAUUUUUCCCUAUGUAAAUAAACACUGGGAGGGGAGAGACGGUUUUUCUCUUUUGCUAGGAGAACACACAGGAAGAACGGGCAGGGCGUAACUCU
Molecule: long non-coding RNA, 2684 nt
Organism: Hipposideros armiger (great roundleaf bat)
Lineage: Eukaryota; Metazoa; Chordata; Mammalia; Chiroptera; Hipposideridae
Exons: 6
Source: RefSeq, a predicted model, not a curated record